UAGGUGGAUAAAUGCAAGUGAACUUGCAUAGU
RNAcentral lists this non-coding RNA (32 nucleotides) under Mus musculus (house mouse). The record is from RNAcentral. Lineage: Eukaryota; Metazoa; Chordata; Mammalia; Rodentia; Muridae.